Molecule: ribosomal RNA, 782 nt
Filed under: uncultured Neocallimastigales
Lineage: Eukaryota; Fungi; Neocallimastigomycota; Neocallimastigomycetes; Neocallimastigales
Description: partial large subunit ribosomal RNA
Rfam family: Eukaryotic large subunit ribosomal RNA
Source: RNAcentral
UCGCAUCUGUGCAUGCAGCAUAUCAAUAAGCGGAGGAAAAGAAACUGAACAAGGAUUCCCCUAGUAACGGCGAGUGAAGCGGGAAGAGCUCAAAUUUGAAAUCUUAAAGGGUUUUCCCUUUACGAAUUGUAGUUUAAAGAAGUGUUUUUCUGUUGAGGUUUUGGUAAAAGUUCUUUGGAAUAGGACAUCAUAGAGGGUGAGAAUCCCGUAUUUGACCUUUACUUUCAACUUUGUGAUACACUUUCAAAGAGUCGGAUUGUUUGGGAAUGCAGUCCAAAAUGGGUGGUAAAUUUCAUCUAAAGCUAAAUAUUGGCGAGAGACCGAUAGCGAACAAGUACCGUGAGGGAAAGAUGAAAAGAACUUUGAAAAGAGAGUUAAACAGUACGUGAAAUUGUCAGAAAGGGAAGCGUUUGACACCAGUGUUGUUUUUUCUGAAAAUCAAUUAAAGAACUGUUUUAUGCUAAGCUGUUUAGACUUUAUCAGCUAUCUGUUUAGUUUUGAGCUUUUCUUUAAUGCACUUUUCAGUUAACAAAGUCAACAUCAAUUUCUUUUGCUGUAAAAAAGCUUGAGGAAGGUGGCUUGAGAUUCGUCUUAAGUGUUUAUAGCCUCUUGCCUAUGCAGUCGGAGAGAUUGAGGUCUGCAGCGUAGAUCCUUCGGGGCUAAAUGCAUUUGUGCUAAGUUAUAGCAUUUUAUAGACAACUUGUUGACUAUGAUUUGUCUUGUAGCUUACUCGCUUAUGUUAUUUUACCUACGCUUAGGAUGUUGAGUCGUAGAGCACGCAG